CAUCUUGUUGACAACUUGUUGGAACAAGUCUGCUGCAGGUUUGUUACAACUUGUGCGUUGCUACGUGGAGCAAGGACUCGAGUACACAGAAUGAAGCCAAAUCUCGUAUUCAGAGUAAGCCCGUUCACAGGUUAGGUGCCGCUUCAAUCUCGUUCCUAGGUGCCAAGCACCUAACCUGCGAACAGGCAUACUCUGGGUACGAUAUUGAGUCAAGCCACGAUGGUGCUAUUGUUCCAGUCCCAAUUUCUACUGUUUUUGUCUGCGCAAGGCUAACUCAUAUCUAUGACUGACGUUCUUGCCUCAGAUAUACAGCUAAUUCAAUUAAGGUUGUCCUUUCAAAGUCAAAACCGCAAAACCUCGACCUCUAAGCGCGUAAGGCACGAUGGACAUGCAUACAGUAUGUGAUUGAUAGUCCGAGCACUCCGUAGUUACGCGGUUGCUACGUUCCACAAGCUGUUUAGGUAUCGGCAUUCCCGUUGAUUUUCACCUUUCUCGGAUUUUAUUUUCUCGUCCAACCCAAUUCAAUGGCAAACCUGGCGGAAUUCAUUGAAUUUUUAAACUUUUUAAUGUUUUAAAGCAAGUUGUUUGUGUGAUAUGCUUGACUCCUUUGAACAUUAGCACAAAUGUGACAUAAACAAUCUCAUGAUAAUGAUGCUUUUCGCGCUUAGAGGUCAAAGUUUGGGCAACUUUGAUACACCCUUUCGAUAAUUACGUCACAACUACACUGUUUUCAACUUAACUUAGGACUAGAAAGGAUUUCAAGGUUUUUUCUCAUGGACUAUCCACAGAGAAGCAGAACAUUCUUCUUCAACACAUGCAUGAAAAAGAAUUCUUUAUUUUGACCAGUAAAUGUGGAAAUAAGCUUUAACACGAAAACGAGGCUCCAGGUCAUGAUCUGGAGCCUCGUUUUCGUGUUAAUGCUUAUUUCCAUAUUUAUUGAUCAAAAUCCAAAUUUUUUUUCGCGCAUGUGUUGAAGGAUGUUCUGCUUCUCUGUGUAUUGUCCAUGAGGAAAAAAACUUGAAAUCCUUUCCAUUUAAGAUGGUCCUAAGUUGAAAACAGUGUAGUUGUGACGUACUUAUCGAAAGGGUGUAUUGAAUUAGUUGUAUAUAGUUCUCAUUGUUGAGAACUGGAAAUCAUAAGGAAUGGGACAAACCACUGGUCUUAAAACUAGAACUGGAUGGAGCCUCUGGAGCGUCGUUUCAGUGCGGGAAGUCAUCCGAAGACAGCGAAAGAUAUGAUACUCCCAGGUUGGAUUAAAUAAUGAACGCGUUCCUAUUAGGUACUGAAGUAAAAUUUGUCUCUGACUCUGUAAAAAGUGUUUUUGCGUCAAAAAAGUUGUUCGAAUAUAUUCCUUUGCUAUUCAAUGGUGGAAACGAGUUUUUAGAAACAAUUGAAAGCAUAUAACAGUUUCUAUUGGGUCAUCUCUAGCUACCACCAGAGCAUGCAUCAAUAGCCAUAAAUGUUUCGCUGCUCAUUCUGUAGUGAUGUGUAAAUAUAAAUAUACUAGUGAAAUUACAGUCGGUUUGACCACAAAACUAUUUUUAUUUUUCGUGCUUUUACACAGGGAAUACUCUGAUUUGUCGAGUCUCUUGGUUUUUUUCCAUGUUUGCUUCGCAAGUGAAAACUAAUCAUGGCCUUUUUUAACCAUAUUAC
Non-coding RNA from Paramuricea clavata, 1653 nucleotides. NCBI's taxonomy places the organism in Eukaryota, Metazoa, Cnidaria, Anthozoa, Malacalcyonacea, Plexauridae. The record is from the annotation of a GenBank genome assembly.